This 447-nucleotide small RNA is filed under the name Pan troglodytes (chimpanzee). RNAcentral describes it as "retained intron". Lineage: Eukaryota; Metazoa; Chordata; Mammalia; Primates; Hominidae. The record is from RNAcentral.
CUGGCCGUGCUGAGCUGUCCCCUGCCGCUCUACAGGCACAGCCGCGCCUUCCUGCACGCGCUGCUGCACAGUGACAACACGGCCGCGCUGCACCACCUCACGGUCCACAACAUCGCCUACCAGGUGAGCCAGUGCCCGGGGCAAGGUGGGCGGGGCUGUCCUAGGUGCGUAUGCCCCACGCUGACCUCCCCUCCCCGCAGCUGCAGCUCAUGAGCGCCGUCCGCACCAGCAUCGUGGAGAAGCGCUUCCCGGACUUCGUGCGGGACUUCAUGGGCGCCAUGUACGGGGAUCCCACCCUCUGUCCCACCUGGGCCACUGACGCUCUGGCCUCUGUGGGAAUAACACUGGGCUGACCUGGCAUUGGGAGAGGGAGGGAGGAAGGAAGGGAGGGAGGGGCUGGAAGAUACUGAAGGAUUUCUUUUUGGAAGGUUUUUUUUAUUGUAACUU